UACGUAGGAUGCAAGCGUUGUUCGGAAUUACUGGGCGUAAAGAGUACGUAGGCGGUUUGACAAGUCUGAUAUUAAAGACUGGGGCUUAACUCCAGGAGUGUAUCGGAAACUUUCAGACUAGAGGACAAUAGAGGAAGUCGGAAUUCUCAGUGUAGCGGUGAAAUGCGUAGAUAUUGGGAAGAACACCAGUGGCGAAAGCGGACUUCUGGGUUGUUACUGACGCUGAGGUACGAAAGCGUGGGGAGCAAACGGG
This 253-nucleotide ribosomal RNA is filed under the name uncultured bacterium. RNAcentral's name for it is "partial 16S ribosomal RNA". It matches the Rfam family "Bacterial small subunit ribosomal RNA", at positions 524 to 776 of the family's 1533-position model. The record is from RNAcentral.